Long non-coding RNA from Myxocyprinus asiaticus (Chinese sucker), 419 nucleotides. RefSeq lists it as uncharacterized. Lineage: Eukaryota; Metazoa; Chordata; Actinopteri; Cypriniformes; Catostomidae. The record is from RefSeq and is a predicted model, not a curated record. The transcript is spliced from 4 exons.
UAAAGUUGCAAGUUAUCCCUGUCCCUGUCUGUUCUCUCCCUGUCUCUUGAUAUAGAAAUCUCUUUAUCUCUCCUUGCAUCUCUGACACACAAGAAACAACCACAGUGUAAUAUUAGUAUGUAUUAGUAGUAAUAUUGUUCUUUGUUUUAGAGCCAUUGAAGUAGCGUCUGGCGGGUCCAUACUCAAACCACCCUCAUGAACUGCUAGUCAACAAGUUCCAUCGUCUUACCUGCAGACAAGAAGACAAAGUCCGGGUAAUGAGCUAUUUAUUUCUUAGAGUGCAGACAGGUGAGGAUGGAGGACUAUGCACCGGAUCAAGACCCUGUCAUGGCCAGCCCAAUCUCCAGACCUGUACUCCAUUGAAAACCUCUGGAAUGUGAUCAAGAGGAAGAUGGAUGGCCACAAGCCAUCAAACAAUG